RNAcentral lists this long non-coding RNA (482 nucleotides) under Homo sapiens (human). Its description in RNAcentral is "HSALNT0340317". The record is from RNAcentral. Lineage: Eukaryota; Metazoa; Chordata; Mammalia; Primates; Hominidae.
GAUGAGGCCAACAGCUCUCUUCAAGAGCUCUCCGUGGAGGGGGCUGUGUGGAAAGUGCCCGAGUGGCCAUGCUCCCAGGCUGUCCUUCCACAGCCACACAGCCCAUCAAGGCAUUCUGCUCAACGAAGACUUUUCCUUCCUCUGAAAGAGACUUUCCUGCUAAACAACUUUUUUCCUUACUACAAUCUGAUUGCAGUAAGCAAGGAUGGCAUAACAUAACCAUCCAAAUAAGUUGAAAACUUUUGCCCACACAAAAACCUGCACACUGAUUCAUAUUUGCCAACACUUGGAAGCAACCAAGAUGUCCUUCAACAGAUGAAUAGAUAAACAAAACGUGGCACAUCCAGACAAUGGAAUAUGAUACAGCAGGAAAAAGAAAUGAGCUCCGGACAUUCUGGAAAGGUAAAACUACAGAGAUCAUAAAAAGAUCAUCUCUUUGAAGUCUGGGUAUUUGGUAAAAACAAAUCAGUGGUUAACAGGGG